CGCCCGGCCCCGCUCCGCCCCCGCUCCCUCCUACUGCUCCGCCUCCCGCUCCGCCCCCGCUCCCUCCUACUGCUCCUCCUGCCGCCCGCGCGGGGACGGAGCCUCUCUGUCCGUCCGUCCGCCCGCACCCACGGGCUCCCCGCUCGCCCGGCUGCUUGUCCGCCCCGGCCCCGGCCCCGGCCCCGGCCCCGGCCCCGGCCCCGGCCCCGGACGGACGGACGGACAGAGGGAGGGACAGAGGUGCAGCCCCGGGCCCCGGGGGCUCCUCUCCCGACGGCCGGUCCGGCGGCGCGCUCCGUCCGCCCCAUGCCACCCGGACGACGGCCCUGCCCAACAUCCUAGCCCGGCUGGACAGCACGCUCCAGCACUAUCCACUGCCCUUCCACCCUUCUCCAUUGCCUCUGCCAAAGUGGGAACGAGGAGAAAGAACACAGGAUUAGAAAAGAAAAUAUCAGGAGUGGAUCUACCAACUCUAUGGUAUUGUAUUCUCCCCCAAGUGCCCGUACAGUGCUCUCCACAUAAUCCCUCUAGAUCACAAGCUGGUCAUAGCCAGGGAGAGUAUCUACCAUCUCCUACUCUCCCAAGUUCUUAGUGCAGUGCUCUGCACACAGUGAGGUGCUCGAUAAAUACCAUUGAUUUUUUUUUUUAAUUGUACUUGUUAAGAGCUUAUUAUAUGCCACUGGUUAGAUAUAACCUAAUCAGGCUAGAUACGGUCCAUGUCCCACAUAUUGCCCAUAGUGUUAAUCCCCAUUUUAUAGCUGAGGUAACUGAGGCACAAAGAACCUAAGUGACUUUCCCAAGGUCACACAGCAGACAAGUGGCAGAGCUGGGAUUACAACUCUGGUCCUUCUGCCUCCCAGACCCGUUUUCUCUCCUCUAGACCAUGCUGUUUAAUCGCGCUAGCCUCAGAGCCCCUGUGGGUAGGGAAAUGAUGUCAACCAACUUUAGUGUAUUGUUCUCUUCGAAGCAUCUAAUACAGCAGUCAACAAGUAUCAUGAUUAAUUGCCACUGAUCUUCUCUGGGACCUUGGAAGCGGUCCCCAUCGGGACAUCAAUACCCCAUUGGGUCAGACCAAUUGUCAAUCCAACAUUUUGCUCUCACCCUGGGAGGAAAAGUAUGGCAGUUGCUCUUCUCUCUAGCCUUGGAUGUGAAUUUGCCAAGGCCUGAGUCUGCUGUACACAGUGGAUAGGGCACAGGGCUGGGAGUCAAAAGGAUGUGGGUUCUAAUCCCCGCUCUGCCGCUUGUCUGCUGUAUGACCUUGGGUAAGUCAGUUCACUACUCUGGGCCUCAGCUUCCUCACCUGUAAAGUGGGGAUUAAGAUGAUGAGCCCAAUAUGGGAUUAUUAGAUCCAACCCAAUUUGCUUGUAUUCCCCACAACUCUUAGUACAGUGCCUGGCACAGAGUAAGUGUUUAAUUAUUAUUAUUAUCAUGGGAUCUGGGUAUGCCUCUUCCCGAAGCUGAGCCGCCAAAAUUCAGCUGCAGGUGGCAGAGAGGAGAUGUGGCACGUGGAGAGUGAGGCUGUGUACUCAGAAGGGAGAAUCAAAUCCAGCUUGACCUGAUUUUUGUGCCGUUCAUAUGUUUGCCUGUGGAAAUUGCUUAAGACUAGAUGAGCUGACCUUAGGUGUGGACAAUACUAAACCUCAUCUCUUCCCAUCCAAGUGUAACUACCACAGACUAAAUCAAAACAAUCUCUCCUGGUCACAUUUGUGGAUGGUAGCCCGUUUGUUGACAACUUCUGUAAAUUCCAAUACCCUUUCUGAGAUUGACAGCCCAAACUCACUCUGUAUCAAAGAUGACUUGCCGAGAAUAGCGAUUUGACACUCUUUCAACAGUGAUCUUAAGCAGUUGUGUAAGGAUGAAAAGGAAGAUAUGUCAGGCUCCUAAAGAAUCCUUGCUGCUCUUUGACCAGAUACGUGAUUCGAUAAGAAUUGGCCGACCUGUUUUUAGGCCUUGACCGUUGAUCCUUGGGCUGGCAGUGUGUGCCGAAUGAAUAACUGAUCCUGCUCCACAUUGCUCCGGGCAUUGCUUCUACUUUUCAGAACUUCACAUAAGUAGGUAUGAAGGAAUAACUGAAGACUGUAGUUUUAUUUGAUUUCCAGAGUUCAGUUUCUAGAGUAGCACAAGUGGAAGUUUCAUCUUUAGUGACCUUGGAAAUCACAUCGCUUUCAUUAUUUCUAUCAAUUGUUUUUUAUCCAUCAGUUAUAUUUAUUGAGCACUUACUGUGUGCCCCACCUCUGCACUAAUACUUGGGAGAGUACAAUAUAACAGAGUUGGUAGACAUGUUCCCUGCCCUCUGUGAGCUUUACAGCCUAGGGGAAAGGGAAAAGACAAUUUCUGACUUUAGAGACUUACUCUAUUGCUUUCUGGAAAAAACGGUAAUCAAAAAUGUUCAUGUUUACUUCCUUAGCUUUUUUAAAAAUGAUAUUCGUUGAGCACUUACUAAGUGCCAGGUACUGUACUGGGGUGAUACAAACUUGUACUAAUUACUGGGGUAAUACAAGCUAAUCAAGUUAGACACAGUCCAUGGCCCACAUGGGGCUCCCAGUCUUAAUCCCCAUUUUGCAGAUGAGGUAACUGAGGCACAGAGAAGUGAAGUGAUUUGCCCAAGAUCUCACUGCAGACAAGUGGCAGAGCUGGUUUUAGAACCCAGAUCCUUCUGACUCCUAAGCCCGUACUCUAUCCACUAGGCCAUGCCUCUUCUCGUACAUACUUGAUGACCAACUAAUUGAUAGCUAACAGAUUGGUCUAGAAGAAAAAGGACGGGCUUGGAAGUCAGAGAAUGUGGAGACACCGGCCUGGGACUCAGAGGGAUCUGAAUUCUAAUCCCAGCUCUGCCGCUUGUCUGUUGUAGGACCUUGGCCAAGUCGCUUAACUUCUCUGUGCUUCAGUUUCCUCAUCAGCAAAAGAGGGAUUAAAAACCUGUUCUCCUUCUCCCCCUUAGUCUGUGAGCUCCCUCUACCAACCCAACGCUUAGUAAAGCCUAAGAAAUACUUCUAUUAUUACUAGGUCUAAUAAUUACUAAUUGCGUUAGUGCUCCUUCUCCUUUUGCCCAGGGUCCUUAGGUAAACUGGUGAAAUGGUUUGCUACUGUAAUGGAAGAGUCUGAGUUUUUCCUGCUCCCCACAUAAAAACUCGGCACUCUAAUAGAGGGAAGUCUCAGUUCAUAAAGGUGAUCUGGAAACUGUGGUGAAAAUAUCUUUGAAAUCACCAAUCAUUGAUGACAACUAACUGUUAAUACACGGCACCUUUGAACCUGAUGUAUCCAGCGGUGGUUAAGACCACGGUCCGAGAGCAGUUUACGCUGGCCGCCGCCUUCUGAUUUCAAAAUGAAACCUGAUGGUAUGAGCUCAACUUCUAUAUCCUUGACAGAAAGCUAGAUGUACCCUCUUUGGAGAGAGCAAGAUGAUGCGGACGGUCGAUAGGCAGCAGCAGGGUUUCAACCGCGUCCCUACCUUCUGGCAGGAUAAUAAGUGAAUCUUUCUUUUCUCUCCCAGCCACUGAGAGUCCUAUGUGCGUCACGCUGCCGAGGGGGACGGCGCUCAGGCGUUUCUAUGCGGAAGCUGCUUCGGGCCCCGUUCUCUGACUGAGCGAA
RNAcentral lists this long non-coding RNA (3591 nucleotides) under Ornithorhynchus anatinus (platypus). RNAcentral describes it as "lncRNA (ENSOANG00000049164.1)". Lineage: Eukaryota; Metazoa; Chordata; Mammalia; Monotremata; Ornithorhynchidae. The record is from RNAcentral.